UACGUAGGGGGCUAGCGUUGUCCGGAAUCAUUGGGCGUAAAGCGCGUGUAGGCGGUCCGGUAAGUCCGCUGUGAAAGUCGAGGGCUCAACCCUCGAAUGCCGGUGGAUACUGUCGGGCUUGAGUACGGGAGAGGCGAGUGGAAUUCCUGGUGUAGCGGUGAAAUGCGCAGAUAUCAGGAGGAACACCGGUGGCGAAGGCGGGACUCUGGGCCGAUACUGACGCUGAGGAGCGAAAGCGUGGGGAGCAAACAGG
This 253-nucleotide ribosomal RNA is filed under the name uncultured bacterium. Its description in RNAcentral is "partial 16S ribosomal RNA". It matches the Rfam family "Bacterial small subunit ribosomal RNA", at positions 524 to 776 of the family's 1533-position model. The record is from RNAcentral.